Molecule: ribosomal RNA, 447 nt
Filed under: uncultured bacterium
Lineage: Bacteria
Description: partial 16S ribosomal RNA
Rfam family: Bacterial small subunit ribosomal RNA
Source: RNAcentral
GAUCAACGCUGGCGGCGUGCCUAAUGCAUGCAAGUCGAACGGGGGGGCGUUUCGGGCUCCCUUACGUGGCGGACGGGUGCGGAACACGUGGGCGAUCCACCCUCGGGCGGGGGAUAGCCUCCAGAAAUGGGGGGUAAUGCCGCAUGUGCGGGUGGGGGGGUAGCCUUCAUCCGGAAAGGUGCCUUUCGGGGUGCCACCCGAGGACGAGCCUGCGGCCGAUUAGCUGGGUUGGGGGGGUAACGGCCUCUCAAGGCGAUGAUCGGUAGCUGGUCUGAGAGGACGGCCAGCCACACGGGGACUGAGACACGGCCCCGACUCCUACGGGAGGCAGCAGCAAGGAAUCUUCCGCAAUGGGCGCAAGCCUGACGGAGCAACGCCGCGUGCGGGAUGACGCUUUUCGGAGUGUAAACCGCGUUUUCGGGGGGAAGAAGCCCGGGUGGGGGACCC